Molecule: ribosomal RNA, 253 nt
Filed under: uncultured bacterium
Lineage: Bacteria
Description: partial 16S ribosomal RNA
Rfam family: Bacterial small subunit ribosomal RNA
Source: RNAcentral
UACGUAGGGACCGAGCGUUGUCCGGAUUCAUUGGGCGUAAAGAGCUCGUAGGCGGCUGCUCAAGUCGAAUGUGAAAACUCGAGGCUCAACCUCGAGCCUGCAUUCGAUACUGGGCGGCUAGAGUCUGGUAGGGGGAUCUGGAAUUCCAGGUGUAGCGGUGAAAUGCGUAGAUAUCUGGAGGAACACCGGUGGCGAAGGCGGCAUCCUGGACCAACACUGACACUGAUGAGCGAAAGCCAGGGGAGCAAACGGG